RNA transcript from Aethalodelphis obliquidens (Pacific white-sided dolphin), 1598 nucleotides. It is a transcript of the gene named ATPase H+ transporting V1 subunit E1, with no coding region annotated. NCBI's taxonomy places the organism in Eukaryota, Metazoa, Chordata, Mammalia, Artiodactyla, Delphinidae. The transcript is spliced from 10 exons. The record is from RefSeq and is a predicted model, not a curated record.
UGCCCGGCGACCUGCGCAGGAACCGGAAGCUGCGCUCACAAAACAGAAGAGGUCGGAAGCGCGUCUCGCUUUCGUCUCCCGUUCGCCCGCUGCCCGCGUCGGUUCUGAGCUUCGGCCGGUCACCCGCUGCCUCCCGUCGCUUGCACCAUGGCCCUCAGCGAUGCCGACGUGCAAAAGCAGAUUAAGCACAUGAUGGCUUUUAUUGAACAAGAAGCCAAUGAGAAAGCAGAAGAAAUAGAUGCAAAGGCAGAAGAAGAGUUCAACAUUGAGAAAGGUCGUCUUGUGCAGACCCAAAGACUGAAGAUUAUGGAAUACUACGAGAAGAAAGAAAAGCAGAUUGAGCAGCAGAAGAAAAUUCAGAUGUCUAAUUUGAUGAAUCAAGCGAGGCUCAAAGUCCUCAGAGCGAGAGAUGACCUUAUCACAGACCUACUAAAUGAAGCCAAACAGAGGCUCAGCAAAGUGGUAAAAGAUACGACCAGGUACCAGGUGCUGCUGGAUGGACUGGUCCUCCAGGGUUUGUACCAGUUGUUGGAGCCCCGAAUGAUCAUUCGUUGCAGGAAACAGGAUUUCCCUCUGGUGAAGGCUGCGGUGCAGAAAGCAAUCCCCGUGUACAAAAUCGCCACCAAAAGAGACGCUGAUGUCCACAUUGACCAGGAGGCCUGCCUGCCUGAGGAAGUAGCUGGCGGGGUUGAGAUCUACAACGGGGAUCGCAAAAUCAAGGUCUCCAAUACCCUCGAAAGCCGGCUGGACCUCAUAGCCCAGCAGAUGCUGACCCAAAGCCCCAGAACCCCAAACCGCAGCAGGAAUGAUGGAAAGUCAAGCAACUGCUCUUAAAGGAAUUGCCACAGGGCGCCAGGCUCUUCAGGUGUUUCCGGGUUUGCAGGAAACCAGCCAGAAAACUUGAGUUGUCCCGAGUGCGGGGCCUCUUCCAGAGGUGUGGUCUGCUGCCCCGACCUUGACCGGCGUCUUCUGGUAACUUACACCUCAGAGCCAUGCUACCCACCAGCCACACGUGGCUAAUUAACUAAAGCUAGAUGAUGCCCGAAGUGCGGGGAGCCUUGUUUGGGGCAAAUGCCAACAGGAAGUUUUUGGACUAAGCCUGAGGGAGGUGGCGUCCACCCACUGCGUGACGUGGACGUUUCUGACAGUUGAAGAGACAAGAUGGCCUGCGUAGCUUCCUCUUUGCUGUCCUCCUGUCCUGUCCUGCAUCUAUCGGUGGAAGCCCUGCUGUAGCUAACACCCCGGCUGGUGGGGACCAACGGGCGAGAGUCUCACUUAGUACGACCAGGAAACCUUCCUCUAGCUUGUCUCAAAGUAACACAACUUCCCGCUGUUCUGCAGCACAGAGGCGAGGGGUCAGGUGGUGGGUGCAUGAGUGUCCCCAGGCCUCCUGCUCUCCUGGGGUCCAGCCUCGGGGGGGGCGGAGUGGUGGGCUCUGGGGUCAGGUCUCCACUCUUUGGGCUUCAAGUGCAUGUGGGGCCUCAUUUCUUCCAGCAGCAGCAGCUUCACUGUUAACCUGUUUGGGCCUAGAAAUGUCUAUAAAUGUGAUUUAAGAUCUAAGCCGUGAAUAUGCUUUAUUUAUUAAAAUGUAACACGUA